This 138-nucleotide small nucleolar RNA is filed under the name Ornithorhynchus anatinus (platypus). Lineage: Eukaryota; Metazoa; Chordata; Mammalia; Monotremata; Ornithorhynchidae. The record is from RNAcentral.
ACCCUCUCAGGAUGGCACCUGGAGAGUCUCCAGUACUUUACCAGUCUCGGCUAUGGGAGGGAGAGUCAAGCAGAGGCCCAUCCAUUCCAUUCCUAGCUUGGGCAGUGGCUAGCGAGCGGAAGGCCAUCUGCUACAAGU